RNAcentral lists this ribosomal RNA (1249 nucleotides) under uncultured Bradyrhizobium sp. RNAcentral's name for it is "bacterial SSU rRNA". It matches the Rfam family "Bacterial small subunit ribosomal RNA", at positions 113 to 1396 of the family's 1533-position model. The record is from RNAcentral. Lineage: Bacteria; Pseudomonadati; Pseudomonadota; Alphaproteobacteria; Hyphomicrobiales; Nitrobacteraceae.
ACGCGUGGGAACGUGCCUUUCGGUUCGGAAUAAUCCAGGGAAACUUGGACUAAUACCGGAUACGCCCUUCGGGGGAAAGAUUUAUCGCUGAAAGAUCGGCCCGCGUCAGAUUAGCUAGUUGGUGGGGUAAUGGCCUACCAAGGCGACGAUCUGUAGCUGGUCUGAGAGGAUGAUCAGCCACACUGGAACUGAGACACGGUCCAGACUCCUACGGGAGGCAGCAGCGGGGAAUAUUGGACAAUGGGGGAAACCCUGAUCCAGCCAUGCCGCGUGAGUGAUGAAGGCCUUAGGGUUGUAAAGCUCUUUUGUGAGGGAAGAUGAUGACGGUACCUCAAGAAUAAGCACCGGCUAACUUCGUGCCAGCAGCCGCGGUAAUACGAAGGGUGCUAGCGUUGUUCGGAAUCACUGGGCGUAAAGCGCGCGUAGGCUGCUGUUCAAGUCAGAGGUGAAAGCCUGGAGCUCAACUCCAGAAUUGCCUUUGAAACUGUACAGCUGGAGUGUCGGAGGGGAUAGCGGAAUUGCUAAUGUAGAGGUGAAAUUCGUAGAUAUUAGUAGGAACACCGGUGGCGAAGGCGGCUAUCUGGACGACAACUGACGCUGAGGCGCGAAAGCGUGGGGAUCAAACAGGAUUAGAUACCCUGGUAGUCCACGCUGUAAACGAUGGAUGCUAGCCGUUGGGGGGUUACCCCUCAGUGGCGCAGCUAACGCGUUAAGCAUCCCGCCUGGGGAGUAGGGUCGCAAGAUUAAAACUCAAAGAAAUUGACGGGGACCCGCACAAGCGGUGGAACAUGUGGUUUAAUUCGAGGCAACGCGAAGAACCUUACCAGGACUCGACUUGCUCCUUAUGGAAUCCCGAAAAGGAUUCCUUCACAUCGGGUGGGGGAAGCACAGGUGCUGCAUGGCUGUCGUCAGCUCGUGUCGUGAGAUGUUGGGUUAAGUCCCGCAACGAGCGCAACCCUCGUCCUCUGUUGCUACCAGGUAAUGCUGAGCACUCUGAGGAAACUGCCGGUGAUAAGCCGGAGGAAGGUGGGGAUGACGUCAAGUCCUCAUGGCCCUUACGUCCUGGGCUACACACGUGUUACAAUGGCGGUGACAAUGGGCAGCGAAAGCGCAAGCUGGAGCGAAUCCCCAAAAGCCGCCUCAGUUCGGAUCGUACUCUGCAACUCGAGUACGNGAAGCUGGAAUCGCUAGUAAUCGUGGAUCAGAACGCCACGGUGAAUACGUUCCCGGGUCUUGUACACACCGCCCG